Non-coding RNA from Entophlyctis luteolus, 71 nucleotides. Lineage: Eukaryota; Fungi; Chytridiomycota; Chytridiomycetes; Chytridiales; Chytriomycetaceae. The record is from the annotation of a GenBank genome assembly.
UUCGGUGUGGUCCAAUGGUAAGACUAUGGUCUCCAAAACCAUCAACGUAGGUUCGAUUCCUACCACCGCAA